CCCUUAGAUGUUCUGGGCUGCACGCGCGCUACACUGACAUGUCCAGCGAGCUCCCAACCUGCUCGGCAAAGAAUGGGUACCCUUUUUAACGCAUGUCGUGAUGGGGAUAGAUUAUUGCAAUUGUUGAUCUUGAACGAGGAAUUCCUAGUAAGUGCAAGUCAUUAGCUUGUGCUGAUUACGUCCCUGCCCUUUGUACACACCGCCCGUCGCUACUACCGAUUGAACGGUUUAGUGAGGGCCUCGGAUUGGUCUCGGCCCGCUCUUUACCGGGCGGCGCCGUUGGUCGAGAAGACGCUCGAACUUGAUCGUUUAGAGGAAGUAAAAGUCGUAACA
Molecule: ribosomal RNA, 333 nt
Filed under: uncultured eukaryote
Lineage: Eukaryota
Description: partial 18S ribosomal RNA
Rfam family: Eukaryotic small subunit ribosomal RNA
Source: RNAcentral